AAGCUGCGAUAAGUAGUGUGAAUUGCAGAAUUCAGUGAAUCAUCGAAUCUUUGAACGCACAUUGCGCCCCUUGGUAUUCCAUGGGGCAUGCCUGUUCGAGCGUCAUUUGUACCCUCAAGCUCUGCUUGGUGUUGGGUGUUUGUCCCCGUCUCCGCGCGUGGACUCGCCCCAAAGUGAUUGGCAGCCGGCGUACUGGUCCCGGAGCGCAGCACAUGUCGCGCAAACGAGUGCCUUGGUACGGCGGCGUCCAUAAGCCCCUCUCUCACGCUCUUGACCUCGGAUCAGGUAGGGAUACCCGCUGAACUUAAGC
RNAcentral lists this unclassified non-coding RNA (310 nucleotides) under plant metagenome. RNAcentral describes it as "partial contains 5.8S ribosomal RNA, internal transcribed spacer 2, and large subunit ribosomal RNA". The stretch from base 1 to 105 matches the Rfam family "5.8S ribosomal RNA", at positions 50 to 154 of the family's 154-position model. The record is from RNAcentral.